RNAcentral lists this ribosomal RNA (242 nucleotides) under uncultured bacterium. Its description in RNAcentral is "partial 16S ribosomal RNA". It matches the Rfam family "Bacterial small subunit ribosomal RNA", at positions 15 to 257 of the family's 1533-position model. The record is from RNAcentral.
GAUCAUGGCUCAGGAUGAACGCUGGCGGCGUGCUUAACACAUGCAAGUCGAACGAUGAAGCCCAGCUUGCUGGGUGGAUUAGUGGCGAACGGGUGAGUAACACGUGAGUAACCUGCCCUUAACUCUGGGAUAAGCCUGGGAAACUGGGUCUAAUACCGGAUAGGAGCGUCCACCGCAUGGUGGGUGUUGGAAAGAUUUAUCGGUUUUGGAUGGACUCGCGGCCUAUCAGCUUGUUGGUGAGG